RNAcentral lists this ribosomal RNA (212 nucleotides) under uncultured bacterium. Its description in RNAcentral is "partial 16S ribosomal RNA". It matches the Rfam family "Bacterial small subunit ribosomal RNA", at positions 136 to 334 of the family's 1533-position model. The record is from RNAcentral.
GUCUGGAAUAAACCGGCCGAAAGGCUGGCUAAUACUGGAUAGUUCAAGCGGAUUGUAAGGAUCCGAUUGGGAAAGGGAGCGGGAAACCGCCUUUGCUUUUUGAUGAGCCCGCGUCUGAUUAGCUAGUUGGUGAGGUAAUGGCUCACCAAGGCUGAGAUCAGUAGCUGGUCUGAGAGGAUGAUCAGCCACACUGGAACUGAAACACGGUCCAG